GCAUAUCAAUAAGCGGAGGAAAAGAAACCAACAGGGAUUGCCCCAGUAACGGCGAGUGAAGCGGCAAGAGCUCAAAUUUGAAAGCUGGCCCCCUCGGGGUCCGCAUUGUAAUUUGCAGAGGAUGCUUCGGGAGCGGUCCCCAUCUAAGUACCCUGGAACGGGUCGUCAUAGAGGGUGAGAAUCCCGUAUGGGAUGGGGUGUCCGCGCCCGUGUGAAGCUCCUUCGACGAGUCGAGUUGUUUGGGAAUGCAGCUCUAAAUGGGUGGUAAAUUUCAUCUAAAGCUAAAUAUUGGCCGGAGACCGAUAGCGCACAAGUAGAGUGAUCGAAAGAUGAAAAGCACUUUGAAAAGAGAGUUAAAAAGCACGUGAAAUUGUUGAAAGGGAAGCGCUUGCGACCAGACUCGCCCACGGGGUUCAGCCGGCAUUCGUGCCGGUGUACUUCCCCGCGGGCGGGCCAGCGUCGGUUUGGGCGGCCGGUCAAAGGCCCUCGGAAUGUAACGCCCCUCGGGGCGUCUUAUAGCCGAGGGUGCCAUGCGGCCUGCCCGGACCGAGGAACGCGCUUCGGCUCGGACGCUGGCAUAAUGGUCGUAAGCGACCCGUCUUGAAACACGGACCAAGGAGUCUAACAUCUACGCGAGUGUUCGGGUGUCAAACCCGUGCGCGCAGUGAAAGCGAACGGAGGUGGGAACCCUCACGGGUGCACCAUCGACCGAUCCUGAUGUCUUCGGAUGGAUUUGAGUAAGAGCGUAGCUGUUGGGACCCGAAAGAUGGUGAACUAUGCCUGAAUAGGGCGAAGCCAGAGGAAACUCUGGUGGAGGCUCGCAGCGGUUCUGACGUGCAAAUCGAUCGUCAAAUUUGGGUAUAGGGGGCGAAAGACUAAUCGAACCAUCUAGUAGCUGGUUCCUGCGA
RNAcentral lists this ribosomal RNA (908 nucleotides) under Penicillium cinnamopurpureum. RNAcentral describes it as "LSU rRNA". It matches the Rfam family "Eukaryotic large subunit ribosomal RNA", at positions 38 to 963 of the family's 3401-position model. The record is from RNAcentral. Lineage: Eukaryota; Fungi; Ascomycota; Eurotiomycetes; Eurotiales; Aspergillaceae.